CCCUUAGACGUUCUGGGCCGCACGCGCGCUACACUGACGAAGGCAACGAGCUUUCCUUUACCGAAAGGUACGGGUAAUCUUUUGAAACUUCGUCGUGCAGGGGAUAGAUCCUUGCAAUUUUUGAUCUUAAACGAGGAAUGCCUAGUAAGCGCAAGUCAUCAACUUGUAUUGAUUACGUCCCUGCCCUUUGUACACACCGCCCGUCGCACCUACCGAUUGGAUGGUCCGGUGAAGCCUCGGGAUUGUGGUUCUUGCCGCUUUAUUGUGGCGUGACCGCGAGAACUUGUCUAAACCUUAUCAUCUAGAGGAAGGUGAAGUCGUAACA
Molecule: ribosomal RNA, 325 nt
Filed under: uncultured eukaryote
Lineage: Eukaryota
Description: partial 18S ribosomal RNA
Rfam family: Eukaryotic small subunit ribosomal RNA
Source: RNAcentral